Molecule: long non-coding RNA, 959 nt
Organism: Mauremys reevesii (Reeves's turtle)
Lineage: Eukaryota; Metazoa; Chordata; Testudines; Geoemydidae
Exons: 3
Source: RefSeq, a predicted model, not a curated record
AGCCACAAAGUGGGUAUCACAAGAAUAGAGAGGUUCAGAAUUAUGGUAUGUGAAAGUCUAAACUGACGACACAUGAUCAUAAACAAGAGACAAAACAGCUGCUCCAACUCUUAAACAGUAACCAGCCUCCACCAAUGAGAAAUGUCCAAUAAACAGAGGACACCUGGGCUCCUCACUACCUGUAGGAAGCAGAACACGCCCUGUCUCCCUUUCUUUCCCCCCACUUGGAACCAACUCAGCAGCUGUACUUCCUGUAUCUAGAAUUUUUGAAGGUCUGCUCCAGGAAAGAGGAAGGACAGAUGGAUUAGUGUACAGUGGACAUGGCUGAGAGUCAUGUGAUCUGGGUUCAACUCUUGUCUCUGCCACACACUUCCUGUGUGAUCUUGAGCAGGUCACGUAAUCUGCCAUCUGUAAAAUAGGGCUAAUACUAGCCUCUCUCAUGGAGGUGAUGAGAGGAUAAAAUCCAUUAAUGACUGUGAUCUACUCAGAUCCUGUGGAGAUGAAGGCCAUACUCAUAGGUGAGGUGCUGAGAAAGCUUCAUCUCCUGCGUACACAAGUUUCAUGCUUGAAGUUGACCGUUCUGUUUUUCCAGUGGAAGGUAGCCAUCACAGGAGGUUGUGAUCAUGUGGUAUGCAGCAGCUCCCCAGAUUUUAAGGUAGGCAGUUCCAUACUUUGGUGUACAGAACUGAGCCAAACAUGCCUCAUUAUGACUAAGUCUGAAUCUGACAGGAGAUGGCAAAGUCUUAUGCUGCAGACAAGAAAGAGCCCUUUUUUCAUGGUCAUGGCUAACUGGGGAGGUGCCCACAUGCCAUGGUGAUGGGUGCUGUAUAAGAAGCUAAAUAGAAGAGAAAGCAGUGAGGAGUAUUGAGUUUGAUGAAUGGAACCAAGCUUGAAUUGGAACUUUAUAUCCAAAUCCAACUCUGUGAGUGGGUGAAUUUCAACUCCAUGGCCAAGCCAUU